RNAcentral lists this ribosomal RNA (460 nucleotides) under uncultured bacterium. Its description in RNAcentral is "partial 16S ribosomal RNA". It matches the Rfam family "Bacterial small subunit ribosomal RNA", at positions 338 to 795 of the family's 1533-position model. The record is from RNAcentral.
CCUACGGGAGGCAGCAGUGAGGAAUAUUGGUCAAUGGACGAGAGUCUGAACCAGCCAAGUAGCGUGAAGGAUGACUGCCCUAUGGUUUGUAAACUUCUUUUAUAUGGGAAUAAAAUGUUCCACGUGUGGGAUUUUGUAUGUACCAUAUGAAUAAGGAUCGGCUAACUCCGUGCCAGCAGCCGCGGUAAUACGGAGGAGCCGAGCGUUAUCCGGAUUUAUUGGGUUUAAAGGGAGCGUAGGUGGAUUGUUAAGUCAGUUGUGAAAGUUUGCGGCUCAACCGUAAAAUUGCAGUUGAAACUGGCAGUCUUGAGUACAGUAGAGGUGGGCGGAAUUCGUGGUGUAGCGGUGAAAUGCGUAGAUAUCACGAAGAACUCCGAUUGCGAAGGCAGCUCACUGGACUGCAACUGACGCUGAGGCGCGAAAGUGUGGGUAGCAAACAGGAUUAGAUACCCGAGUAGUC